Molecule: unclassified non-coding RNA, 690 nt
Filed under: Leishmania donovani
Lineage: Eukaryota; Euglenozoa; Kinetoplastea; Trypanosomatida; Trypanosomatidae
Description: gene:unknown
Source: RNAcentral
UGCUCCGUUCAUCUCUUUUCUCUAUUUGUGUGCGUGUGUGUGUGUGUGUGUCCUCGUUCCGAGUCCAGAAACAAGCCUGCGUCUCUGUGUGGGGGCGAGGGGUUGGAUCGGCCAAGUGAGCGGCAAGGGGAAGUGUGUGCGUGGCGCAUGCAUGCAUGCAUGCAUGUGUGUGUGUGUGUGUGUGUGUGCGUGCUGCGCUGGGUGUCGUAGCUGGGAGCCGAGUCGCAUGGGCUUCCUCGAGUCCGCCUUCGAGAGAGGAGCUUCGCAGACGAUGUGUAUGGCUACUCACGCCUCCCUCUUCCCCACACGCCGUCCCUCCCUCAGCCCCUCUGCAGGGUCGUGAUCAUCAGCAAAACACAGGAAACACGACAGCAAUGCCAUGAUGAAGGCGAUAUAAUGCGUGUGUGCACGAUGCGAAUGGCAACCGAUACGACGUCCCUUGUGGUGGCACGUCACAGCCGGGUGCGUGGCGAGUGUGUACGUCUGCAUGUUUUUCUCUUCCGUGGCGCGUUCGUAUCUGGAGAAUGGCAUCCGGGGCGUUGUGGGACCGGCAAGAGCUUUUCGUUGGCGUCUUGGUAGCGAGAAGGGAAGGCAGCGCAUGUGCGGCUGUGGUCCAACUCACGCGUCUGCCUCGGUCACUAUGCGCUUUCUGUCACACGUACUUCUCCCUUCUGCAUGUCCGCUUCUCAG